UAGUCUACGCCGUAAACGAUGGAUGCUAGCUGUUGGACUUCGGUUCAGUGGCUAAGCGAAAGUGAUAAGUAUCCCACCUGGGGAGUACGUUCGCAAGAAUGAAACUCAAAGGAAUUGACGGGGGCCCGCACAAGCGGUGGAGCAUGUGGUUUAAUUCGAUGAUACGCGAGGAACCUUACCAGGGCUUAAAUGUAAGUUGCAUUAGUUAGAGAUAGCUAUUUCUUCGGACUACUUACAAGGUGCUGCAUGGUUGUCGUCAGCUCGUGCCGUGAGGUGUCAGGUUAAGUCCUAUAACGAGCGCAACCCCUACCGUUAGUUGCCAGCAUGUUAUGAUGGGGACUCUAACGGGACUGCCGGUGCAAACCGUGAGGAAGGUGGGGAUGACGUCAAAUCAUCACGGGCCCUUACGUCCUGGGGCUACACACGUGCUACAAUGGGUAUAUACAGAGGGGCA
RNAcentral lists this ribosomal RNA (454 nucleotides) under uncultured bacterium. Its description in RNAcentral is "bacterial SSU rRNA". It matches the Rfam family "Bacterial small subunit ribosomal RNA", at positions 791 to 1251 of the family's 1533-position model. The record is from RNAcentral.